Molecule: transfer RNA, 82 nt
Filed under: Dermacentor silvarum
Lineage: Eukaryota; Metazoa; Arthropoda; Arachnida; Ixodida; Ixodidae
Description: transfer RNA leucine (anticodon AAG)
Rfam family: tRNA
About the family: Transfer RNA (tRNA) molecules are approximately 80 nucleotides in length. Their secondary structure includes four short double-helical elements and three loops (D, anti-codon, and T loops).
Source: RNAcentral
GGUAGCGUGGCCGAGCGGUCUAAGGCGCUGCUUUAAGGCACCAGUCCCCUCGGAGGCGUGGGUUCGAAUCCCACCGCUGCCA